UACAGAGGGUGCAAGCGUUGUUCGGAAUCACUGGGCGUAAAGCGCGUGUAGGCGGUCGGAUAAGUCCGAUGUGAAAUCCCAUGGCUUAACCAUGGAAGUGCAUUGGAAACUAUCUGGCUUGAGUAUGGGAGAGGGAGGUGGAAUUCCCGGUGUAGAGGUGAAAUUCGUAGAUAUCGGGAAGAACACCGGUGGCGAAGGCGGCCUCCUGGACCAUUACUGACGCUGAGACGCGAAAGCGUGGGGAGCAAACAGG
RNAcentral lists this ribosomal RNA (253 nucleotides) under uncultured bacterium. RNAcentral describes it as "partial 16S ribosomal RNA". It matches the Rfam family "Bacterial small subunit ribosomal RNA", at positions 524 to 776 of the family's 1533-position model. The record is from RNAcentral.